RNAcentral lists this ribosomal RNA (501 nucleotides) under uncultured bacterium. Its description in RNAcentral is "partial 16S ribosomal RNA". It matches the Rfam family "Bacterial small subunit ribosomal RNA", at positions 30 to 523 of the family's 1533-position model. The record is from RNAcentral.
AUUGAACGCUGGCGGCAGGCUUAACACAUGCAAGUCGAGCGGGGGAAGGUAGCUUGCUACUGGACCUAGCGGCGGACGGGUGAGUAAUGCUUAGGAAUCUGCCUAUUAGUGGGGGACAACAUCUCGAAAGGGAUGCUAAUACCGCAUACGUCCUACGGGAGAAAGCAGGGGAUCUUCGGACCUUGCGCUAAUAGAUGAGCCUAAGUCGGAUUAGCUAGUUGGUGGGGUAAAGGCCUACCAAGGCGACGAUCUGUAGCGGGUCUGAGAGGAUGAUGCGCCACACGGGGACUGAGACACUGCCCAGACUGCUGAGGGAGGCAGCAGUGGGGAAGAUUGGACAAUGGGGGGAACCCUGACCCAGCCAUGCCGCGUGUGUGAAGGAGGCCUUAUGGUUGUAAAGCACUUUAAGCGAGGAGGAGGCUACUCUAGUUAAUACCUAGGGAUAGUGGACGUUACUCGCAGAAUAAGCACCGGCUAACUCUGUGCCAGCAGCCGCCGUAA